CAGUCGCCACGGUAAUACGUAGGUGGCAAGCGUUGCCCGGAAUUAUUGGGCGUAAAGGGCUCGCAGGCGGUUUCUUAAGUCUGAUGUGAAAGCCCCCGGCUCAACCGGGGAGGGUCAUUGGAAACUGGGAAACUUGAGUGCAGAAGAGGAGAGUGGAAUUCCACGUGUAGCGGUGAAAUGCGUAGAGAUGUGGAGGAACACCAGUGGCGAAGGCGACUCUCUGGUCUGUAACUGACGCUGAGGAGCGAAAGCGUGGGGAGCGAACAGGAUUAGAUACCCCAGUAGUCCCUGUCUCUUAUAU
This 301-nucleotide ribosomal RNA is filed under the name uncultured bacterium. RNAcentral's name for it is "partial 16S ribosomal RNA". It matches the Rfam family "Bacterial small subunit ribosomal RNA", at positions 509 to 809 of the family's 1533-position model. The record is from RNAcentral.